This 500-nucleotide ribosomal RNA is filed under the name uncultured bacterium. RNAcentral describes it as "partial 16S ribosomal RNA". It matches the Rfam family "Bacterial small subunit ribosomal RNA", at positions 30 to 523 of the family's 1533-position model. The record is from RNAcentral.
AUUGAACGCUGGCGGCAUGCCUUACACAUGCAAGUCGAACGGCAGCACGGGAGCAAUCCUGGUGGCGAGUGGCGAACGGGUGAGUAAUAUAUCGGAACGUGCCCAGUCGUGGGGGAUAACGCAGCGAAAGCUGUGCUAAUACCGCAUACGAUCUAUGGAUGAAAGCGGGGGAUCGCAAGCUCUCGCGCGAUUGGAGCGGCCGAUAUCAGAUUAGCUAGUUGGUGGGGUAAAGGCCCACCAAGGCGACGAUCUGUAGCUGGUCUGAGAGGACGACCAGCCACACUGGAACUGAGACACGGUCCAGACUCCUACGGGAGGCAGCAGUGGGGAAUUUUGGACAAUGGGCGCAAGCCUGAUCCAGCAAUGCCGCGUGCAGGAUGAAGGCCUUCGGGUUGUAAACUGCUUUUGUACGGAGCGAAACGGUCUGCCCUAAUACGGUGGGCUAAUGACGGUACCGUAAGAAUAAGCACCGGCUAACUACGUGCCAGCCGCCGCCGUAA